UACGUAGGGCGCAAGCGUUGUCCGGAAUUAUUGGGCGUAAAGAGCUCGUAGGCGGCCUGUUGCGUCCGCUGUGAAAUCCCGGGGCUUAACCCCGGGCUUGCAGUGGAUACGGGCAGGCUGGAGGCAGGCAGGGGAGAACGGAAUUCCCGGUGUAGCGGUGAAAUGCGCAGAUAUCGGGAGGAACACCGGUGGCGAAGGCAAUCCCCUGGGCCUGCACUGACGCUCAUGCACGAAAGCGUGGGGAGCAAACAGG
Molecule: ribosomal RNA, 253 nt
Filed under: uncultured bacterium
Lineage: Bacteria
Description: partial 16S ribosomal RNA
Rfam family: Bacterial small subunit ribosomal RNA
Source: RNAcentral